This is a long non-coding RNA of Saccoglossus kowalevskii, 347 nucleotides long. Lineage: Eukaryota; Metazoa; Hemichordata; Enteropneusta; Harrimaniidae. The record is from RefSeq and is a predicted model, not a curated record.
CUGAGUGACUUGGCAUAACUAGGUGUAAUUAACUUAUCUGCUACUUUAUCUGUGUCUUUGUAACUGAGUGACUUGGCAUAACUAGGUGUAAUUAACUUAUCUGCUACUUUAUGUGUGUCUUUGUAACUGAGUGACUUGACAUAACUAGCUGUAAUUAACUUAUCUGCUAAUUUAUGUGUGUCUUUGUAACUGAGUGACUUGGCAUAACUAGGUGUAAUUAACUUAUCUGCUACUUUAUCUGUGUCUUUGUAACUGAGUGACUUGGCAUAACUAGGUGUAAUUAACUUAUAUGCUACUUUUUGUGUGUCAUUGUAACAGAGUGACUUGGUAUAACUAGGUGUAAUUAA